UUCGUUUUCGUUUUCUCUUUCUGCCUUUCAUGGGUUAUAAAUAGGUCUUUGCUUUCUCUCGGCUGCGUGGGCUGUGAUUGGCCGGCGUGGUGUUUCAGGCCGUUCUGCGGCUUUUAUUCGGUGUAUCGGGUCGGCCUCGCUUCGAUCGUUCAAUCUAGAGGCGUCGCCGCGGACGGCAGAGGCAUGAUCCUGGUCGGACCCUUCGUCUUCAACGUCGGGGACGUGGGUGAGGAAGACGUCAGUGCCGUGGACGGUGGUGGUGUGUGUGGUCUGGAUCGGACCAGUGGCGGUCAGGCACGAAGUCCGGCAUGGCGGAGUCGGAGAUGUCGACGAAGACCCCCAGGAGCGGGGCCGGGUGGAAGUCCGGCGGAACGAGGGGACGAGCGGACGGCUCGGAGCGCGCCGUUCUGUAUCUGUUCUUGAUGUUCUUGCUCACUCGCUGUCGUUGCCUGCCCAUCUCUUUCCUAUCUCAUAUUUUUUUUUCUUUCUUUUUCAUGCUGCAGUUCGUGGUACCCUACUGCUGCAGGGGAGCCGUGGAAAGACUGGAAGCCGUCCGGGACAUCAACAACAGGCCGAUGGGUGUGCGGUCAGUGGGCUGCACAAGGACUAGUGAUCUCCCAGGAUGCCGCUGCAGAGCGGGGUUUUGUCGCCGCCAUCAGGGCCUGUACUGGGCAAGAGUCCUGUCGAGCCGAUGCCGCUCCUGCUCUGCAGAGCGAGAACUUGCAUCGCCGUCCCCACCCAUCAAGGCUCCCUCCAGCAUGUCUCUCGCCGUUCGAGCGGGAGUGGCGCCAGUGCCACCGUCCAGUAUCUACGAUGAAGGGCCAGCAACCACCACCACGGCGGAGCCGGCUACGUAGUUCAAGCUGCUCCACCGAGAAAAACCGUCGCCGGGGAGCUACUUCGCGUUGCCAUCUCCAGGCCCCACCUGCAUCCUUUGCUGCCCACGGACACCCGCGCACCUCCCUCACGACCUGACGGAACAAGCGCCUCCAUGUGCUGGCGUUCCUCUCGCACGCUGCCAUGUUGCUACUAUCUUCCUCCCAGGCACGUAUAAUGAAAGUUCAUCUCCUUCCUUCAAUUCCUGUGAUAUUGUAUUCUGUGCGUUCGUGUCUUAUGGGGAAAAAAAUCUCGUACGACCGGGUCGCACGAGGCCAAAACGGGAGACCACCUCGAGCGCAUGACAUCUGGCGUACGAAUCUCAACGCAGCGCUCGCCUGGCUUCCAGCCCAGCCCACCCCACAUCCGUUUCCCACGCCCCACGCCCCGUCCUUUCAGCUUCUAUUCUGUUUCAUCUUCCCAAACGAAAAAACCCAUCUCCAUCUCUUCCAUCUCGCCGGCGACGGCGUGCCAAGAUGGCGCAACCCGACGAGGGCAACGAGGCACUGGAUCGGGAGACCACCUCUCUGCCCACGGCUACUCCAAUCUGGCAAUUUCCGACGACUGAGACUAAUGGCCAGCCCUCGAUGAGCAGCACACCGGCGGCCUUUGCUCCAGAAUCCUCUCUGCCCACAGCUACUCCGACCAUGCAAUUGCCAAGAACUGAGACUAAUGGCCAGCCGAGAAUGAGCAACACCAGUGAAUAAUCAAGACAUACAAGAUGCAGAUAAUGCUCCAAGAGUUGGGAAGUGCUUUCAGUCUGAGGAAGAGGCGUACCAAUUUUACAAUUCUUAUGCUCAAACCAAGGGAUUUAGCAUUAGAAAGUGCCACUUGAAGUUUAGAGCAGAUGGGACUUUAAGUUCCAGAUAUUUUGUUUGUAGCAAGGCAGGUGUGAAAAAUGCUAAUCCAACACAUGUGGCCAAGAAAGAACAAGCUAUUUCGAGGACUAAUUGUAUGGCUCGAGUUCAAUUCAGCAUCAAUCAAGAGGGAAUUUGGACUGCUCAGAAAGUUACGCUCGACCACAAUCACCAGCUUGUAAGUCCAGAUAAGAGGCACAUGCUUAGAUCGCAGCGUCAACUCUUAGAUGACGAUCGCCACAUGAUUAAGCAAAUGAGGACAUCGGGAAUUAAACAAGCCGAAAUAUAUGAUUUUUGCGAGCUUUGGUACGGUAAAGAUGCUAUACCCUUCUUGCAAAUGGAUUGCAACAAUUAUUUGUGAAGUGAGCGCUCAAAGUAUUUGGAAACCAAAGAUGCACAAACAUUAAUGGAGUAUCUAAAGAACAAGCAAGCUGAGGACCCUUCGUUUUUCUAUGCCAUGCAGUUAGAUGAUGAUGAUGGUACAAUAAUGAACAUCUUUUGGACUGAUGGACAAGCUAUCAUGGACUAUUCUGUCUUUGGAGAUGCCCUUUCCUUUGACGCCACAUUUUCAACAAAUAAGUUUCAAAUGUCAUUUGCACCGUUUAUUGGUGUUAAUCAUCACAAGCAGACUAUUCUUUUUGGUGCAGCACUACUAUCUAAUGAAUCUGCAGAUACCUUUGAGUGGGUUUUUAGAACCUUUCUACAAGCUAUGUCUGGUAAGCAGCCUGAAACAAUAUUCACCGAUCAAUGUGCCGCCAUUAUAAAUGCUAUUGGAAGGGUUUUCCCAAGAACACGACAUCGUCUUUGUUUAUGGCAUUUGUAUCAAAAUGCUGCAAAACAUCUAAGUCAAGUAAUCAGCGACAAUGAUAAUUUUCUUAAAGAAUUCAAAAGGUGUGUGUAUGAAGAUAGAUCACUAGCACAUUUUGAGAAUAGAUGGCAUGAGCUAUUGCUUAAGUAUCAGAUUGAGGAUAAUUCUUGGAUAAGC
This is a long non-coding RNA of Triticum dicoccoides, 2718 nucleotides long. RefSeq lists it as uncharacterized. The record is from RefSeq and is a predicted model, not a curated record. NCBI's taxonomy places the organism in Eukaryota, Viridiplantae, Streptophyta, Magnoliopsida, Poales, Poaceae. The transcript has 3 exons.